This is a long non-coding RNA of Brassica napus (rape), 449 nucleotides long. RefSeq lists it as uncharacterized. The record is from RefSeq and is a predicted model, not a curated record. Lineage: Eukaryota; Viridiplantae; Streptophyta; Magnoliopsida; Brassicales; Brassicaceae. The transcript has 2 exons.
UAAAGCUGUUGCUGAUUCCAAGCGGAUCGAUUAUCUCUGCAGUCACCUAUGUUUUCUACGCAAGGUCAUCAAGGAGAAGGGUGUCAACAUAAAAGGAUACUUUGCAUGGGCUCUUGGAGAUAAUUAUGAAUUCUGCAAAGGUUUUACCGUCAGAUUCGGACUUAGUUACGUUAACUGGACAAACCUCGAUGAUAGAAAUCUCAAAGAAUCUGGCAAAUGGUACCAAAGCUUUAUUAACGGUACCACUAAGAACCCUGCCAAACAAGAUUUCCGCCGCCCAAACCUCUCCCUCCGCAACCAGAAGAAGAACCUCGCAGAUGCAUGAAACACUUUAUCCCACCUUCAUGAUCAUCUUCAUAUCUCUACUACUUGCUUCAUAAUAAGGAGCUUGUUCUAUCUAUAUUGUACUAAAUAAAUAUUCCAAUAAAAGAUGAUCAUUUACUAAUGAA